CCGAAUGGGGAAACCCAGUGUGUUCCGACACACUAUCGUUAACUGAAUACAUAGGUUAACGAGGCGAACCGGGGGAACUGAAACAUCUAAGUACCCCGAGGAAAAGAAAUCAACCGAGAUUCCCCCAGUAGCGGCGAGCGAACGGGGAGCAGCCCGGAGUCUGAAUCAGCUUGUGUGUUAGUGGAACGGUCUGGAAAGUCCGACGGUACAGGGUGAUAGUCCCGUACACGAAAAUACACUUGCUGUGAACUCGAAGAGUAGGGCGGGACACGUGGUAUCCUGUCUGAAUAUGGGGGGACCAUCCUCCAAGGCUAAAUACUCCUGACUGACCGAUAGUGAACCAGUACCGUGAGGGAAAGGCGAAAAGAACCCCGGCGAGGGGAGUGAAAAAGAACCUGAAACCGUGUACGUACAAGCAGUGGGAGCCUCUUUAUGGGGUGACUGCGUACCUUUUGUAUAAUGGGUCAGCGACUUAUAUUCUGUAGCAAGGUUAACCGUAUAGGGGAGCCGAAGGGAAACCGAGUCUUAACUGGGCGUUAAGUUGCAGGGUAUAGACCCGAAACCCGGUGAUCUAGCCAUGGGCAGGUUGAAGGUUGGGUAACACUAACUGGAGGACCGAACCGACUAAUGUUGAAAAAUUAGCGGAUGACCUGUGGCUGGGGGUGAAAGGCCAAUCAAACCGGGAGAUAGCUGGUUCUCCCCGAAAGCUAUUUAGGUAGCGCCUCGUGAACUCAUCUUCGGGGGUAGAGCACUGUUUCGGCUAGGGGGCCAUCCCGGCUUACCAACCCGAUGCAAACUACGAAUACCGAAGAAUGUUAUCACGGGAGACACACGGCGGGUGCUAACGUCCGUCGUGAAGAGGGAAACAACCCAGACCGCCAGCUAAGGUCCCAAAGUCAUGGUUAAGUGGGAAACGAUGUGGGAAGGCACAGACAGCCAGGAUGUUGGCUUAGAAGCAGCCAUCAUUUAAAGAAAGCGUAAUAGCUCACUGGUCGAGUCGGCCUGCGCGGAAGAUGUAACGGGGCUAAACCAUGCACCGAAGCUGCGGCAGCGACACUAUGUGUUGUUGGGUAGGGGAGCGUUCUGUAAGCCGUUGAAGGUGUGCUGUGAGGCAUGCUGGAGGUAUCAGAAGUGCGAAUGCUGACAUAAGUAACGAUAAAGCGGGUGAAAAGCCCGCUCGCCGGAAGACCAAGGGUUCCUGUCCAACGUUAAUCGGGGCAGGGUGAGUCGACCCCUAAGGCGAGGCCGAAAGGCGUAGUCGAUGGGAAACAGGUUAAUAUUCCUGUACUUGGUGUUACUGCGAAGGGGGGACGGAGAAGGCUAUGUCAGCCGGGCGACGGUUGUCCCGGUUUAAGCAUGUAGGCGGAGGUUCCAGGUAAAUCCGGUACCUUAUUAACGCUGAGGUGUGAUGACGAGGCACUACGGUGCUGAAGUGAUAAAUGCCCUGCUUCCAGGAAAAGCCUCUAAGCAUCAGGUAACACGAAAUCGUACCCCAAACCGACACAGGUGGUCAGGUAGAGAAUACCAAGGCGCUUGAGAGAACUCGGGUGAAGGAACUAGGCAAAAUGGUGCCGUAACUUCGGGAGAAGGCACGCUGAUAUGUAGGUGAAGUCCCUGCGGACGGAGCUGAAAUCAGUCGAAGAUACCAGCUGGCUGCAACUGUUUAUUAAAAACAC
This 1676-nucleotide ribosomal RNA is filed under the name Enterobacter cloacae. RNAcentral describes it as "bacterial LSU rRNA". It matches the Rfam family "Bacterial large subunit ribosomal RNA", at positions 114 to 1816 of the family's 2925-position model. The record is from RNAcentral. Lineage: Bacteria; Pseudomonadati; Pseudomonadota; Gammaproteobacteria; Enterobacterales; Enterobacteriaceae.